GCAAGAAGUCCUACCAGGAUAGGGGUCUCUCAUAGAAAUUCUCCUAUUUCAGAUGCGAGAACUAGCAGAGGUGCAGGUGUUGAGAGAACUCAAAUGGUAUCCCGAACACGUUGAACUAAAACCAAGCAGAAUCCUAGGCUAGCGAAUCAAGGUAUUCGUGUUUUUCCUUGAUUACCCGGCCUAGACUUCUACUAGGAAUAAGGAGAUAAGACCUUGUACGACUCUCUUCAGUAAGUGACCAAGUGCAGAUCGAAGCCUAAUGAUGCCAAAAUGAUUUUGGAAGGUAUUCAAUUUGUGGUAUCUUUAGGUAUUUAUGUAUUUAAAUUCCCCUUUUUAGUGGGUAAUUAAUUUUUGGACCAAUAGAAAUAAAUAAUUUAGUCC
Molecule: long non-coding RNA, 381 nt
Filed under: Olea europaea subsp. europaea
Lineage: Eukaryota; Viridiplantae; Streptophyta; Magnoliopsida; Lamiales; Oleaceae
Source: RNAcentral